CGCCGCGUGAGCUCAGUUGGAAAGAUAGCGUAGGUUUCUGAAUCCUAAGGUCAUAGGUUCGAGUCGUACGCUUGGUCU
Non-coding RNA from Xylariaceae sp. FL1272, 78 nucleotides. NCBI's taxonomy places the organism in Eukaryota, Fungi, Ascomycota, Sordariomycetes, Xylariales, Xylariaceae. The record is from the annotation of a GenBank genome assembly.